GCAUAUCAAUAAAGCGGAGGGAAAAAAGAAAACUAACAAAGGAAUUUCCCCUAGUAAACGGCGGAGUGAAGCGGGAAGAGCUCAAAUUUAAAAUCUGGUUUGCUUUGCAAAUCCGAGUUGUAGUCUGAAGAAACGUUUUCCAUGAAAGCUGAGGCACAAGUCCUUUGGAACAGGGCAUCAUAGAGGGUGAGAAUCCCGUCCAUGGUCUCAAGCCUUUCAUUUUGUGAUACGUUUUCUAAGAGUCAGGUUGUUUGGGAAUGCAGCCUAAAAUGGGUGGUAAAUUUCAUCUAAAGCUAAAUAUUGGCGAGAGACCGAUAGCGAACAAGUACCGUGAGGGAAAGAUGAAAAGAACUUUGAAAAGAGAGUUAAAAAGUACGUGAAAUUGUUGAAAGGGAACCGUUUGAAGCCAGUCUUGCUUGCUUGUGAUCAAUCUUUGCUUCGGCUUGGAUGCACUCUCAGGUUAUGCAGGUCAACGUCAGUUUGAGAGGUGGGAAAAAAGCUUGAGGAAUGUGGCCUUCGGGUGUUAUAGCCUCUUGCUAAAUACCAUCUUUUGGACUGAGGCUCGCAGCAAAAAUGUGGGCAGGUUUGCGUUUGAGGUGAUACAUUAUUAAGACAGCUUGCUGACUUAGUUUUGUCUAUCUUCACUGCAAGCUUCGCUUCUAAUUUGCUUAGGUCGUUGACAUAAUGGCUUUAAAUGACCCGUCUUGAAACACGGACCAAGGGAGUCUAACAUAUAUGCGAGUAUUUGGGGUGGGCAAACCCACAUGCGCAAUGAAAGUGAAAUUAGGUGCCAAACUCUCACGAGUGGCAGCAUCGGCCGGCUCUGACGUUUCUAACUGACGAGUCUGAGCAGAAGCAUACAUGUUGGGACCCGAAAGAUGGUGAACUAUGCCUGAAUAGGGUGAAGCCAGAGGAAACUCUGGUGGAGGCUCGUAGCGAUUCUGACGUGCAAAUCGAUCGUCAAAUUUGGGUAUAGGGGCGAAAGACUAAAUCGAGCCAUCUAGUUAGCUGCUCUUGCGGAG
This 1022-nucleotide ribosomal RNA is filed under the name Umbelopsis nana. Its description in RNAcentral is "LSU rRNA". It matches the Rfam family "Eukaryotic large subunit ribosomal RNA", at positions 38 to 965 of the family's 3401-position model. Lineage: Eukaryota; Fungi; Mucoromycota; Umbelopsidomycetes; Umbelopsidales; Umbelopsidaceae. The record is from RNAcentral.